CAGUACCUAUAUUACAAUUGUACACAAUAAACCCAUUCAAGUUCAAGUUAUCAUUGCUUGACGAAGGUAUUGUUUGUCUUUCGAAACCGGCCACGUACGACUGCAGUGAUUGACUCAAUAUAGAAUAUCGCUUAUAUCAGAAUCAGAAAACAUUACUUCACAACUUUUGUUUUCGACAUUAUUAAUAUUCGGCCAACACGUUUCGUCUUUCUUAUUAACCUCAAGUGAUCUCGCCCAGAAUUUAUGAACGUUUACUCACCAAGACGUGUAUUUUCUUGUCAGUAUUCUUUGGCAAUGUCUCUUUUCGACACGCCGACACAUUUUCAUCAGCUGAGAAGGCCAUCGCCAAGUAUGCAAUCACAGAUAGAAAGUUCGAUAACCAUAAUAUUACAACGGUAAUAUCAUGAAAUUUCGGCGUAUCAUCAAGUAAAUUCCUUCGGGCCGUACGCGUUAAUGACCCUCAUCGAAUGGGCGGUUUAAUACCUAAUACCCCUCAUUUCAUUAUACUACUUAUAAUCAACCAAAAUUGUAUAAUUUAUGCAUAAACAGGUCAUGCAAAGUCUCAUGAUGUAAACACG
Non-coding RNA from Paramuricea clavata, 578 nucleotides. Lineage: Eukaryota; Metazoa; Cnidaria; Anthozoa; Malacalcyonacea; Plexauridae. The record is from the annotation of a GenBank genome assembly.